This 464-nucleotide ribosomal RNA is filed under the name uncultured bacterium. RNAcentral's name for it is "bacterial SSU rRNA". It matches the Rfam family "Bacterial small subunit ribosomal RNA", at positions 28 to 507 of the family's 1533-position model. The record is from RNAcentral.
GAUGAACGCUGGCGGCGUGCCUAACACAUGCAAGUCGAACGGAGUGUUGAGAGCUUGCUUUUAGCACUUAGUGGCGGACGGGUGAGUAAUGUAUGAGCAACCUGCCUUUCAGAGGGGGACAACAGUUGGAAACGACUGCUAAUACCGCAUAACGCAUAGAAGUCGCAUGGCUUUUAUGCCAAAGAUUUAUCGCUGAAAGAUGGCCUCGCGUCUGAUUAGCUAGUUGGUGAGGUAACGGCCCACCAAGGCGACGAUCAGUAGCCGGACUGAGAGGUUGAACGGCCACAUUGGGACUGAGACACGGCCCAGACUCCUACGGGAGGCAGCAGUGGGGGAUAUUGCACAAUGGGGGAAACCCUGAUGCAGCAACGCCGCGUGAGGGAAGAAGGUUUUCGGAUUGUAAACCUCUGUUCUUAGUGACGAUAAUGACGGUAGCUAAGGAGAAAGCUCCGGCUAACUACGUG